Molecule: long non-coding RNA, 309 nt
Organism: Procambarus clarkii (red swamp crayfish)
Lineage: Eukaryota; Metazoa; Arthropoda; Malacostraca; Decapoda; Cambaridae
Source: RefSeq, a predicted model, not a curated record
CCCCCCUUUGCUCCUGACAUUAUGUUCAGCCUAUUGACCCCUGCACACCUAACACAAGCAACUGUCAUCGCACGGGGUGGCGGGGCCGACAGAACCCCAUCGCUCCAACGCUCAGCGCCCAUAAUUUGCUCACCUUCCAAGUUCCAUCGCAACUAAAGUUGAGGUUUCAACUGAAGACUCCAAACAACUUCAAAGGCCAGGAAAACAUCCAGAGUACCAAGGACAACAACCACCUGUAAAAGAAAAAUAAAGUUGUGGGACAGAUGCUCCUAGAUGAACAGAAGAUCCAAAAGGCCAAGACAACUCCAG